ACUGCAAAGACAAUGGCACCAUAACCCUUGCUAAGGAGCCUAGGUCUCACCAGAUAUCCAAGCACAUAGAACAGCAGAACACGCGACUACCUUGAGUAAAAAUAUAUAGAGGUGCAGAGAGAAAACUUCACAUGUGAUAUGGAUGACCCACUGAUAAGUCACUUGGCUAGCCUAAGACUUAGCCUGUCCUGUGAAGAUAGGGCUUGGUACAUGGC
RNAcentral lists this long non-coding RNA (215 nucleotides) under Elaeis guineensis (African oil palm). RNAcentral describes it as "long non-coding RNA (EGUI_LNC072194)". The record is from RNAcentral. Lineage: Eukaryota; Viridiplantae; Streptophyta; Magnoliopsida; Arecales; Arecaceae.